Molecule: unclassified non-coding RNA, 336 nt
Filed under: soil metagenome
Description: partial contains 5.8S ribosomal RNA, internal transcribed spacer 2, and large subunit ribosomal RNA
Rfam family: 5.8S ribosomal RNA (bases 1-120)
Source: RNAcentral
GAUGAAGAACGUAGCGAAAUGCGAUAAGUAAUGUGAAUUGCAGAAUUCAGUGAAUCAUCGAAUCUUUGAACGCACAUUGCGCCCGCCAGUAUUCUGGCGGGCAUGCCUGUUCGAGCGUCAUUUCAACCAUCAAGCCCCCGGCUUGUGUUGGGGACCUGCGGCUGCCGCAGGCCCUGAAAAGCAGUGGCGGGCUCGCUGUCACACCGAGCGUAGUAGCAUACAUCUCGCUCUGGGCGUGCUGCGGGUUCCGGCCGUUAAACCACCUUCAUAACCCAAGGUUGACCUCGGAUCAGGUAGGAAGACCCGCUGAACUUAAGCAUAUCAAUACGCGGAGGA